Molecule: long non-coding RNA, 2472 nt
Organism: Lemur catta (Ring-tailed lemur)
Lineage: Eukaryota; Metazoa; Chordata; Mammalia; Primates; Lemuridae
Exons: 8
Source: RefSeq, a predicted model, not a curated record
AAAUGUUUUUAAAGGCCCUGAUUGACUGGACUGGUCCAUAGAAAAUGAAAUGAUUUUGCUAGUUGGCUGGUCAGAGAGAGAGUAGAUGGUUGUGAUAUCUACCUGGUGGUUCUCAGAUUCUGGCUGAUGGAUAAACUUUGCUGGAAUCAUCUGAGGAGCCUAUGAAAAAGUCAUGCCCAGCCCUCACCUGAGAUCUUUUGAAGCAGGAUCUCUAAAGAAAAAAAUAGAGAAGAGAGAGAGAUGUUGCUCUCUCUUUGCCAUGUGAGGACGCAGUGAGAAGGUGAGAAGGUGGCUGUCGCUAUCCGCAAGCCAGGAAGAGAACCCUCAACAAGAACUGAAUCAGCUGGCACCUUGACCUUGGACUACCCAGCCUCCAGAACUGUGAGAAAUAAAUGUCUGCUGUUUAAGCCACCCAGUCUAUGCAGCAGCCUGAACAGGCUAACACCGAUAAGAUACAAAGUGAUUGGAGAAGGUCCUUUAGAUUGGGAGCUCAAGGAAGGACUGUCUCCUCCAGAAGUGACAUUUGAGCUGAGUUUUUCAAGGGAUCUAAUGUAUUGCAGCCGAUCCUUGAACGAGAGGAAGAUGGAGACCUGGACAGGAGGUGUGACCAUUCAUUUCAAGAUUGACAAACUGGCAACGAUUCACAACAUUUACACGUAUAUACUGAAGAAUUUUAACAACUGUACCUAUGAUACCUUUCAUAGAAUAUGCUUCAGAAAAAUUCAGAUUUUUUCAAUGGAGUUUUUGCUUUCAAUGGCCUUCUACAUUAGGACUGAAGCUUUCAAUCACAAGUCCUUUGGGACAGAUCAUGAACUAAAAGUCUAGAACAAAUGACAAGCCACCCAAGGACACAUAGGUCCUGUUCUCUGAAAAAUGACAAGAGAAAGUCACCAAAGGAACGUGGUCUGUGUGUCUCCUUGAAUUGGCUCAGCCAUGGUUUCCUAUCCUGACAACACUCCAGGAAGACCGUGGGGCCGAACCGCAUUUUUAAAGGCUUCAGAGGGAGUUUUUGGUCCUCAUUGAACUUGGUCGUGGCCUCCACGGUGUUUAGCCUGCCCUGCCCACAGACCCGCUGCGGUGGCUGUUCCCAGCCCUCGUGUUACUGGCAGAUGUGGGCUGACAGCGUGCUGCCUCGAGCCUGGCCUCCCACACCAUGCACGCUGGCCCUGUCGCCACUGAGAAAUACCAGCUACUCGCGCGCACACUGGCUCACCAGGCCGGCCCCGCGCACGUGCUCUGCAUCCCACUCACAUUGCGGUACCUCUGCCGCUCCCGCAAAAUGUGGGAGACACGUUGCCACGAGCAUUGUGGUCACAUGCUCUGGCUGCCACAACGUAGUACAGGCACACCUGGUUUUAUUGUGCUUCACCUUAUGGGCUUCGCAGAUGUUGUAUUUUUGUUAUUACAAAUUGUAGCAACCCUGCAUCCAGCAAGUCUGUUGGUGCCAUUUUUCUUUCGAACAGCACGGGCUCACUUCGUGUCUCUGUGUCACAUUUUGGCUCAGGCUCACUUUCAAGCUGCCGGGACUCAGAGCCCAUGCCUGGUGGACUUAUUGUCCAGCCUGCCCACGGAGCAGCAUUCUACAAGGGCUGAUAACUGCUGGGAUCAUACAAGCAACGGUGAAUUUGAUUCAAUCCUGAAUUCCACGGCAGAGGGCUCUGGGGAGAGCUACUAACCUGUCUUAAUGGAAGAGGACAAAGAAAGGCCACCUUUGGAUUUGAGAGGUCACGCACAGCUCAGGCAGCAUGAAAUUUACCGAGUUUGCUGCCGGCUGAAGCCAUUUUCUCAAAAUGACCAUCUCUCUCAGGAGAGAUAUUAUGCUAAUAUUGUUAGAAGCUCAGAGGUUAGGUAAUAAAACCAUUUACCUUUGCUGUUUUGUCAACUUUGGGUUUUGUUUUGUUUUAGUGGUUGUUUAAAACAAGAGGGAAAAAAAUCACGGAAGAACAAAGAAACAUCGAAUUUAGAAGACUAAAUAAAAGAAAGCGAGGGAAGUAGAGAGACAGCGUGGAAGACAAAGAGCAGAGUAAAUACAGAGAUGAACAAAAGAACCGGGUGGAGUGAAAGGCAAAGAAAAUUUAGGUCCUGCCUCCUGCCUUUUUCAUUUGAAGAAAGCUUGGGUAUGAGCUUGUCACUUUCCUGACCCAUAAAAAUCGUCAGUGACCUUGUUUCUUCUUUCCUCUGAGCCUGAAACAGGCAUUGAGGGAUAAUCUCAGAAAGUUUUAAAUUGCCUGAGCACAGCGCCGAGGCUGUCCACAGACUACUGGGAGUCUGGCACUGCUCAGCAGAGGAUGCAGACACAGAAAGAAUCAAUCUCUGGAUCUUGUACCUUUCGUUGGCCCAUGCUGGCUUCCCUCCUCCCUCUCCUACCAUCUCCUGGAAAAGCUUUCAGCUGAAUCCUUCAUGCUCGCUCUCUUGGAUAAACAGCUGCAUGCAAUCCCUUGCUCUUCAGGGGACAGAGAUUUGGCCUUGCAU